AAAUCCGGUUCACUUUAACACUGAGGCGUGACGACGAGGCACUACGGUGCUGAAGCAACAAAUGCCCUGCUUCCAGGAAAAGCCUCUAAGCAUCAGGUAACAUCAAAUCGUACCCCAAACCGACACAGGUGGUCAGGUAGAGAAUACCAAGGCGCUUGAGAGAACUCGGGUGAAGGAACUAGGCAAAAUGGUGCCGUAACUUCGGGAGAAGGCACGCUGACACGUAGGUGAAGUGAUUUACUCAUGGAGCUGAAGUCAGUCGAAGAUACCAGCUGGCUGCAACUGUUUAUUAAAAACACAGCACUGUGCAAACACGAAAGUGGACGUAUACGGUGUGACGCCUGCCCGGUGCCGGAAGGUUAAUUGAUGGGGUCAGCGCAAGCGAAGCUCCUGAUCGAAGCCCCGGUAAACGGCGGCCGUAACUAUAACGGUCCUAAGGUAGCGAAAUUCCUUGUCGGGUAAGUUCCGACCUGCACGAAUGGCGUAAUGAUGGCCAGGCUGUCUCCACCCGAGACUCAGUGAAAUUGAACUCGCUGUGAAGAUGCAGUGUACCCGCGGCAAGACGGAAAGACCCCGUGAACCUUUACUAUAGCUUGACACUGAACAUUGAGCCUUGAUGUGUAGGAUAGGUGGGAGGCUUUGAAGUGUGGACGCCAGUCUGCAUGGAGCCGACCUUGAAAUACCACCCUUUAAUGUUUGAUGUUCUAACGUGGACCCGUUACCCGGGUUGCGGACAGUGUCUGGUGGGUAGUUUGACUGGGGCGGUCUCCUCCUAAAGAGUAACGGAGGAGCACGAAGGUUGGCUAAUCCUGGUCGGACAUCAGGAGGUUAGUGCAAUGGCAUAAGCCAGCUUGACUGCGAGCGUGACGGCGCGAGCAGGUGCGAAAGCAGGUCAUAGUGAUCCGGUGGUUCUGAAUGGAAGGGCCAUCGCUCAACGGAUAAAAGGUACUCCGGGGAUAACAGGCUGAUACCGCCCAAGAGUUCAUAUCGACGGCGGUGUUUGGCACCUCGAUGUCGGCUCAUCACAUCCUGGGGCUGAAGUAGGUCCCAAGGGUAUGGCUGUUCGCCAUUUAAAGUGGUACGCGAGCUGGGUUUAGAACGUCGUGAGACAGUUCGGUCCCUAUCUGCCGUGGGCGCUGGAGAACUGAGGGGGGCUGCUCCUAGUACGAGAGGACCGGAGUGGACGCAUCACUGGUGUUCGGGUUGUCAUGCCAAUGGCACUGCCCGGUAGCUAAAUGCGGAAGAGAUAAGUGCUGAAAGCAUCUAAGCACGAAACUUGCCCCGAGAUGAGUUCUCCCUGAGACUUUAGGUCUCCUGAAGGAACGUUGAAGACGACGACGUUGAUAGGCCGGGU
This 1354-nucleotide ribosomal RNA is filed under the name Salmonella enterica. RNAcentral describes it as "partial 23S ribosomal RNA". It matches the Rfam family "Bacterial large subunit ribosomal RNA", at positions 1538 to 2866 of the family's 2925-position model. The record is from RNAcentral. Lineage: Bacteria; Pseudomonadati; Pseudomonadota; Gammaproteobacteria; Enterobacterales; Enterobacteriaceae.